AUUGAACGCUGGCGGCAUGCCUUACACAUGCAAGUCGAACGGCAGCACGGGAGCAAUCCUGGUGGCGAGUGGCGAACGGGUGAGUAAUAUAUCGGAACGUGCCCAGUCGUGGGGGAUAACGUAGCGAAAGCUACGCUAAUACCGCAUACGAUCUAUGGAUGAAAGCGGGGGAUCGCAAGACCUCGCGCGAUUGGAGCGGCCGAUAUCAGAUUAGGUAGUUGGUGGGGUAAAAGCCUACCAAGCCUUCGAUCUGUAGCUGGUCUGAGAGGACGACCAGCCACACUGGAACUGAGACACGGUCCAGACUCCUACGGGAGGCAGCAGUGGGGAAUUUUGGACAAUGGGCGCGAAGCCUGAUCCAGCAAUGCCGCGUGCAGGAUGAAGGCCUU
This 389-nucleotide ribosomal RNA is filed under the name uncultured bacterium. RNAcentral describes it as "bacterial SSU rRNA". It matches the Rfam family "Bacterial small subunit ribosomal RNA", at positions 30 to 418 of the family's 1533-position model. The record is from RNAcentral.